GCUAGUGUAGCUUAAUAGGUAGAGCAGCUGAUUUGUAAUCAGUAGGUCGGGAGUUCGAAUCUCUUCACUAGCU
RNAcentral lists this transfer RNA (73 nucleotides) under Nephromyces sp. ex Molgula occidentalis. RNAcentral's name for it is "tRNA-Thr". It matches the Rfam family "tRNA". Rfam says of the family: Transfer RNA (tRNA) molecules are approximately 80 nucleotides in length. Their secondary structure includes four short double-helical elements and three loops (D, anti-codon, and T loops). Further hydrogen bonds mediate the characteristic L-shaped molecular structure. tRNAs have two regions of fundamental functional importance: the anti-codon, which is responsible for specific mRNA codon recognition, and the 3' end, to which the tRNAs corresponding amino acid is attached (by aminoacyl-tRNA synthetases). tRNAs cope with the degeneracy of the genetic code in two manners: having more than one tRNA (with a specific anti-codon) for a particular amino acid; and 'wobble' base-pairing, i.e. permitting non-standard base-pairing at the 3rd anti-codon position. Lineage: Eukaryota; Apicomplexa; Aconoidasida; Nephromycida. The record is from RNAcentral.